GGAUGAACGCUGGCGGCGUGCCUAAUACAUGCAAGUCGAGCGAACAGACGAGGAGCUUGCUCCUCUGACGUUAGCGGCGGACGGGUGAGUAACACGUGGAUAACCUACCUAUAAGACUGGGAUAACUUCGGGAAACCGGAGCUAAUACCGGAUAAUAUAUUGAACCGCACGGUUCAAUAGUGAAAGACGGUUUUGCUGUCACUUAUAGAUGGAUCCGCGCCGCAUUAGCUAGUUGGUAAGGUAACGGCUUACCAAGGCAACGAUGCGUAGCCGACCUGAGAGGGUGAUCGGCCACACUGGAACUGAGACACGGUCCAGACUCCUACGGGAGGCAGCAGUAGGGAAUCUUCCGCAAUGGGCGAAAGCCUGACGGAGCAACGCCGCGUGAGUGAUGAAGGUCUUCGGAUCGUAAAACUCUGUUAUUAGGGAAGAACAAAUGUGUAAGUAACUAUGCACGUCUUGACGGUACCUAAUCAGAAAGCCACGGCUAACUACGUG
RNAcentral lists this ribosomal RNA (498 nucleotides) under uncultured bacterium. RNAcentral's name for it is "partial 16S ribosomal RNA". It matches the Rfam family "Bacterial small subunit ribosomal RNA", at positions 27 to 507 of the family's 1533-position model. The record is from RNAcentral.